This 879-nucleotide ribosomal RNA is filed under the name Bacillus sp. (in: firmicutes). RNAcentral describes it as "bacterial SSU rRNA". It matches the Rfam family "Bacterial small subunit ribosomal RNA", at positions 24 to 888 of the family's 1533-position model. Lineage: Bacteria; Bacillati; Bacillota; Bacilli; Caryophanales; Bacillaceae. The record is from RNAcentral.
UCAGACGAACGCUGGCGGCGUGCCUAAUACAUGCAAGUCGAGCGGACGGAUGGGAGCUUGCUCCCUGAAGUCAGCGGCGGACGGGUGAGUAACACGUGGGCAACCUGCCUGUAAGACUGGGAUAACUUCGGGAAACCGGAGCUAAUACCGGAUAAUGCAUAACCUCUCAUGAGGUUAUGCUGAAAGAUGGUUUCGGCUAUCACUUACAGAUGGGCCCGCGGCGCAUUAGCUAGUUGGUGAGGUAACGGCUCACCAAGGCAACGAUGCGUAGCCGACCUGAGAGGGUGAUCGGCCACACUGGGACUGAGACACGGCCCAGACUCCUACGGGAGGCAGCAGUAGGGAAUCUUCCGCAAUGGACGAAAGUCUGACGGAGCAACGCCGCGUGAGUGAUGAAGGUUUUCGGAUCGUAAAACUCUGUUGUUAGGGAAGAACAAGUGCCGGAGUAACUGCCGGCACCUUGACGGUACCUAACCAGAAAGCCACGGCUAACUACGUGCCAGCAGCCGCGGUAAUACGUAGGUGGCAAGCGUUGUCCGGAAUUAUUGGGCGUAAAGCGCGCGCAGGCGGUCUCUUAAGUCUGAUGUGAAAGCCCACGGCUCAACCGUGGAGGGUCAUUGGAAACUGGGGGACUUGAGUGCAGAAGAGGAAAGUGGAAUUCCACGUGUAGCGGUGAAAUGCGUAGAGAUGUGGAGGAACACCAGUGGCGAAGGCGACUUUCUGGUCUGUAACUGACGCUGAGGCGCGAAAGCGUGGGGAGCAAACAGGAUUAGAUACCCUGGUAGUCCACGCCGUAAACGAUGAGUGCUAAGUGUUAGAGGGUUUCCGCCCUUUAGUGCUGCAGCAAACGCAUAAGCACUCCGCCUGGGGAGACGCCCG